Molecule: non-coding RNA, 486 nt
Organism: Microcebus murinus (gray mouse lemur)
Lineage: Eukaryota; Metazoa; Chordata; Mammalia; Primates; Cheirogaleidae
Source: the annotation of a RefSeq genome assembly
CUUCCCCAAGAGGCCCACACCCUGAGCAUGGGGACACAGUGCUGCCUGCCCCGUUGUGCCAUGGGCUCCAGGCUCCUCCACUGGGCGAUGCUUUGCCUCCUGGGGACAGGCCCGGCAGAGGCUGGAGUCACCCAAACUCCAGGACACCUGAUCAAAGCAAGAGGACAGCAAGUGACACUGAAGUGUUUCCCUGUCUCUGGGCACGACCAGGUGUCCUGGUACCAGCAGGCCCUGGGUCAGGGCCCCCAGUUCCUCAUUCAGUAUUAUGGAGGGCAAGAGUUAGAAAAAGGAAACUUUCCUGCCCGAUUCUCGGGUCACCAGUUCCGUGACUAUCGCUCUGAGCUGAACCUGAGCGCCUUGGAGCUGGGGGACUCGGCCCUGUAUCUCUGCGCCAGCAGCUUCCACAGCCCUGCAGAGCCACCAGCGCUCUGUGCACAAACCUCCCUGCCCCAGCCUGGAGGAACCUCAGCCCUGACGUAUCUGUGA